RNAcentral lists this long non-coding RNA (782 nucleotides) under Zostera marina. Its description in RNAcentral is "long non-coding RNA (ZMAR_LNC005672)". Lineage: Eukaryota; Viridiplantae; Streptophyta; Magnoliopsida; Alismatales; Zosteraceae. The record is from RNAcentral.
UGGAUGUUGGAAAGUGAGUCACAUUAUAGUCAAAUGAAUUCAAUCCAAUAUAUAUAAGGUAAUAAAUAUUAAAUACUCACUACAGUUUUGUAAUUAGCUGAAUAGAAAAUUUUGGAUUAACAAGCAUUUAGAUAGUGAGAUAAAAAAUUGUCAAAGUGUACCUGUUUUGAGGGAUCUCGGCACCUUCAAAGCUUGAAACCUUCUCAUGGCCGAUCUAAACGCAUCUCCCAUCCUUCUCUUUCUCCGUUUUCUUCUCCCACUUCUUCACGCUACAGGAUUAGAGAAUGGGGUUCCAGAGGGAUGCAAUAGGCCCCAGAUGGCUUCAAUGUUCUGUCAAGAAUUAUGAUGUGGAGGCAUGGCAGCUAUCAUGACUUUGAAGGAUGUUAGUGGAUAUCCGUCUCAGAUCAAACCUAUCUCAGAUCAGAAUGAAAUCUAAAGGGAUAAAGAAAAAAAGUUAGAGUACCAAACCUGCAGUGAGUGAGCAAUUAAAAAACUUUCCGUCGAGAGUUUCUGGUAAGAGGGAAAACGAGAACUUAUUUGGGGCACUGUCUCCGUCGAGAGUUUGGGGAUUUCCGUCGAGAGUGAAAGGAGGGUUUGGGGAGUUUUUUGUGGUGAAAGGAGGGUUGAGGGUUUGGGGAUUUCCUUCGAGAGUGAGAAUGAGAUUUAAUUACAAGGAGAGUUGAAACUUGAAAGAAGGGUUUGGGUGUUAUUAAAAGGUUUUAUUAAUUUUAGGGAUUGGGUUUUAGGGAUAAACUUAUUGAUUUGGGUAUUUUUAUUCUAAU